This 253-nucleotide ribosomal RNA is filed under the name uncultured bacterium. RNAcentral's name for it is "partial 16S ribosomal RNA". It matches the Rfam family "Bacterial small subunit ribosomal RNA", at positions 524 to 776 of the family's 1533-position model. The record is from RNAcentral.
UACGAAGGGUGCAAGCGUUACUCGGAAUUACUGGGCGUAAAGCGUGCGUAGGCGGUUUGUUAAGUCUGAUGUGAAAGCCCUGGGCUCAACCUGGGAAUGGCAUUGGAUACUGGCAACCUAGAAUGUGGUAGAGGGUGGCGGAAUUCCCGGUGUAGCAGUGAAAUGCGUAGAUAUCGGGAGGAACAUCCGUGGCGAAGGCGGCCACCUGGACCAACAUUGACGCUGAGGCACGAAAGCGUGGGGAGCAAACGGG